UACGGAGGGUGCAAGCGUUAUCCGGAUUUACUGGGUUUAAAGGGUGCGUAGGUGGGUAGGUAAGUCAGUGGUGAAAUCUUCGAGCUUAGCUCGGAAACUGCCAUUGAUACUAUUUAUCUUGAAUACUUUGGAGGUAAGCGGAAUAUGUCAUGUAGCGGUGAAAUGCUUAGAUAUGACAUAGAACACCAAUUGCGAGGGCAGCUUACUACACAGUUAUUGACACUGAGGCACGAAAGCGUGGGGAUCAAACAGG
Molecule: ribosomal RNA, 253 nt
Filed under: uncultured bacterium
Lineage: Bacteria
Description: partial 16S ribosomal RNA
Rfam family: Bacterial small subunit ribosomal RNA
Source: RNAcentral